GAUGAACGCUGGCGGCGUGCCUAAUACAUGCAAGUCGAGCGAAGGGACGAGGAGCUUUCUUCUCUGAUGUUAGCGGCGGACGGGUGAGUAACACGUGGAUAACCUACCUAUAAGACUGGGAUAACUUCGGGAAACCGUAGCUAAUACCGGAUAAUAUUAUUAACCGCAUGGUUCAAAAGUGAAAGACGGUCUUGCUGUCACUUAUCGAUGGAUCCGCUCUGCAUUGGCUAGUUGGGAAGGUAACGGCUUACCAAGGCAACGAUGCAUAGCCGACCUGAGAGAGUGGUCGGCCACACUGGAAGUGAGCCACGGUCCAGGCUCCUACGGGAGGCAGCAGUCGGGAAUCUUCCGCAAUGGGCGAAAGCCUGACGGAGCAACGCCGCGUGAGUGAUGACGGUCCUCGGAUCGUAAAACCGUGUUAUUAGGGAAGAACAUAUGUGUAAGUAACAGAGCACAUCGUGACGGUACCUAAACAGAAAGCAACGGCUAACUACGUG
Molecule: ribosomal RNA, 497 nt
Filed under: uncultured bacterium
Lineage: Bacteria
Description: partial 16S ribosomal RNA
Rfam family: Bacterial small subunit ribosomal RNA
Source: RNAcentral